RNAcentral lists this long non-coding RNA (316 nucleotides) under Gallus gallus (chicken). The record is from RNAcentral. Lineage: Eukaryota; Metazoa; Chordata; Aves; Galliformes; Phasianidae.
CUCGGGCUUCCUCCCUCUUAUUCCCCAGCUCCUUGGCGAUCUUAAGAUGUUGCUCAUGGCACUGCACUGCAUUUUCAAAAUCCCCCAUCGCAAUGUACACUGCUCCCAUGUUGCCCAGCUCCCGUGCCUCAGACAGCUCAUCUUUGGAUUGCUUUGCAAGGAGGACACACUGCUUGUGGCUCGCCAGUGCGUUUGGGUAGUCCCCGAUGGCUGUGUACACAUGGCCCAGACUGCUCAGUGCUGCGGAUGCUGCCUCUCUGUCCUUGAGUUUCAUGGCGAGCACCAGCUGAUGUCUGUGGUUAGUAAGGGCCUCCCG